Molecule: long non-coding RNA, 655 nt
Organism: Trichomycterus rosablanca
Lineage: Eukaryota; Metazoa; Chordata; Actinopteri; Siluriformes; Trichomycteridae
Exons: 2
Source: RefSeq, a predicted model, not a curated record
UUUGUGGGUGUGAGAGAGGAGGAGGUAACUAAAUACCCUCCACCCUCUUUUCUUUUCUCUCUGACAUCUCGUACUUCUCAAUUUAUCAAAUGUAAUUCAUACGGGAACUGACAGGCGGUGCCUCCGUUAGGGCUCAGGGAACUCUGGGCUUAUGAGGGGCUUCAGACUGGGAGUGUAUGAGCUGACGUGGCGGAGUCCCGGGGAAACACUGGCCAACGCACAUCUGGUUAUGUAAGCAGAUGCCUCACACAUGCAUGGACAAUACUCCAUACCACAUAGAUGGGUCAAUCAAGGUGUGGAUGGAGAACCACCAGAUAAAGACCCUGUCACAGCCAGCCAAAUGACUUAAACGCCACUGAAAACUCCAGGAGAAGCCAUGAAAAAGGUUGUUGAAUUUAUGCACCAGGAGAGGCAUAAAGUCACCCAACAGUAAUGUGAAGACUGGAGGAGAGUAUGCCAAGACUCAUGAACACUCUGAUUGAAAGUUGGGGUUAUUCAGACUCAGACUCAGCUUUAUUGUCAUUCAACCACGUACAUGAUAGAACGAAAUACAGUUUCCCAGGUCUCGGUGUGUGUGACAUGAAGGAAAUAAAAUAGAAUAAAAUAUAGAAUAAUAUAGAAUAAACUAUGAUAAGUAAUAAAAAUGUAGAACAAA